RNAcentral lists this unclassified non-coding RNA (4499 nucleotides) under Drosophila ananassae. Its description in RNAcentral is "GF10502". Lineage: Eukaryota; Metazoa; Arthropoda; Insecta; Diptera; Drosophilidae. The record is from RNAcentral.
CAUUCUCAUUCGGUCUCUUGAAGGAAUCGCACGUAUUCUGAAUACGCGGAAAGCAAAGCAAUCACAAUCCAAAUCGAAGUGGCAGUGCUGAAAGCAAGUGGUAGAUUGAAAAAGUGAAAAACUCUCAAGUUCUUGGUUUUGUGGAAAGCGCAAAAUUCGGAAAAACUGUGCAAAGUGGAGCGGUGUAUCAGCGAUUAAAACCCAGCAACAAUAAACAAUAAACUGUAUCAAGUGUGCUAAUUAUAGCUGAAAAAAGUACUGUUAUUCUGUUAACUGUGUAACUGUAAACGGUGUGAACACGCAAAUCGAGCCAGAAACCAUAAAACCAUAAAAAUCUAUAUACCAGAAACCGAGUGAAAAUCAAAUUAGAUCGCGAGAGACUUUCAACGUAUAAUGGCACCAACAACCACUGACAAUUGCGAAUUUGAAUGUGCAACUGUUGAAGCAACAACAACAACAACAUCGAUUAGCGGCAAUUUCGAUUUUGAAAAUUCGGAAGCCAACACCGGCAGUGGCAACGGCAACGGCAGCAACUUUGAAGAAUCGAAUGAAUUGCAUUUGAGCGGCCAGCAUCAGGAUCAUCAGGAUCAGGAUGUCCAGCAGGAUGUGGAGCAGCAAAAGCAGAUGCCAUGGGAGGCACCUGGCAAACAGGGACUCUACGAUCCCCAGAACGAGCACGAGGCCUGCGGUGUCGGUUUCAUCGUGGCCAUCGAUGGAAAGCGCUCUCACAAGAUUCUACGUGAUGCCCAGACCCUCUCAGAACGGAUGAAUCAUCGCGGUGCCUGUGCCUGCGACAAUGACACUGGUGAUGGUGCUGGCGUUUUGGCUUCCAUUCCUCACGGACUCUAUGCCAAGGCCCUAGCCAAGCAGGGUGUAACCUUGCCGGAAUUGGGUGACUAUGCCACAGGCAUCUUCUACCUGGAUGAGGCGCAGCACGCCGCCGCCGAGAAGGAGUUCGAUGCUCUGGCCAAGAGCCUGGGUCUCGAGGUGAUCGCCUGGCGCACGGUUCCGGCCAACCAGGCGGCCAUCGGCGUGGUGGCCCGCAAAUCGGAGCCCCUGUCCCGUCAGGUGUUCGUCCGUCGACCGGCCGGAAGCGACGAGAAGUCCUUCGAACGGCAGGUGUUCGUCCUGCGGAAGAGGGCCAGCCACGAGCUGACCAAGCCGGGCAGACGCUUCUACAUCUGCUCGAUGUCCGACCGUACCGUGGUGUACAAGGGUCUGUUCACCUCGGACCAGUUGUGGGAGUAUUAUACGGACCUCAAGGAUCCGGAGUUUGAGACGUACUUGGCCCUGGUCCAUACGCGCUUCUCCACCAACACCUUCCCCAGCUGGGAGCGCGCCCAUCCCCUGCGUGUCCUCGCCCACAACGGCGAGAUCAACACCCUCCGGGGCAACGUGAACCUGAUGAAGGCCCGCGAGGGUGUGAUGCAGUCGGACCUGUUCGGGGAUCAGCUGAAGAAGCUCUAUCCCGUGGUGGAGCCGAAUCUCUCCGACUCGGGCAGCUUCGACUGUGUCCUGGAGUUCAUCACCAUGGCCAGCGAGAGGUCGCUGCCGGAAUCGGUGAUGACCAUGGUGCCGGAGGCGUGGCAGAACGACAAGACCAUGCCGCAGGAGAAGCGCGACUUCUACCAGUGGGCCGCCUGUGUGAUGGAGCCCUGGGACGGACCGGCCCUGAUCAGCUUCACCGACGGCCGCUACAUCGGAGCCGUGCUGGACCGGAACGGCCUGCGUCCGUCGCGCUUCUACGUGACCAAGGAGAAUGUGCUGGUCAUGGCCUCCGAGGUGGGAGUCUACGACGUAGAUCCCUCGCAGGUGACACUCAAGAGCCGCUUGAAGCCCGGCCGGAUGCUGCUGGUGGACACCAAGGAGCAGAAGCUCAUCCAGGACAUUGAGCUGAAGUCGCAGAUUGCCAAGUCGAGGCCCCAUUCCGAGUGGCUGCAGCAGAAGAUGAUCACUCUGGACGAGAUUCGCAAUGCGAAUGUCCUGAACACUGCUCCCGUGGAUGAGUUGGCCAAGUUGCCCGCCUCCCAGAGGGGCAUCUUCGAUCCAAGGCUCUCGCUCUUCGGCUACACCACGGAAACGGUCAAUAUGCUCCUCAUUCCGAUGUUCAAGAACAAGAAGGAAGCCCUGGGCUCCAUGGGCAACGAUGCUCCACUGGCCUGUCUGUCCACCUUCCAGCCGAUCCCGUACGAGUAUUUCAAGCAACUGUUCGCCCAGGUGACCAAUCCGCCCAUCGAUCCAUUCCGCGAGAAGGUGGUCAUGUCGAUGCAGUGCCCCAUCGGACCGGAGGCCAAUCUCCUCCAGCCGUCGGCGCAGCAGGUGCACCGCAUUUGGCUGCCCAAUCCCAUACUGAGCAUUCCAGACACCCAGCUGCUCAAGCGGAACACGCACCGCGGCUGGCGUACCAAAGUCCUGGACAUCACAUUCCAGUACAACGAGGGCGUCCAGGGCUACCUGGACUGCAUCGAUCGUGUGUGCCGCGAAGGUGCUGCCGCCGCCCAAGCCGGCUACCAACUCCUGGUGGUCUCCGAUCGUGGGGCCGGAGUCGGUGGCAAGGUGGCUGUUUCUGCCUUGCUUGCCCUGGGUGCACUGCAUCAUCACUUGAUUGAGACGCUGCAGCGCAUGAAGGUGGGCAUUGUGGUGGAGACGGCCGAGGCCCGAGAGGUUCAUCAUAUUUGCGUGCUCCUCGGCUACGGAGCGGACGCCAUUUGUCCGUAUUUGGCCUUCGAACUGGCCCAGGCCCUGCGGGACGACGGCGUCAUUGGUCCGGAAGUGAACGACAAGCAGAUCUACGCCGCCUACGCCCAGGCCAUUGAUACGGGCAUUGCCAAGGUGAUGGCCAAAAUGGGCAUUAGUACCCUGCAGUCCUACAAGAGCGCCCAGAUCUUCGAGGCCGUCGGCUUGGGCAGCGAACUGGUCGCCAAGUGCUUCCGCGGCACCCAGAGUCGCAUCGGCGGCGUUACCCUGGAGAUCCUGGCCAAGGAGGGCCUCGAAAGGUAUCAGCUGACCUAUGGAAAGAGCUCACCUGACACGCGCAUCCUCCGAAACCCUGGACAGUACCACUGGCGUCACGGUGGUGAGGCUCACAUCAAUGAGCCCUCCUCCAUUGGCAGUCUGCAGGAAGCGGCGGUCAACAAGAACCUCGAUGCCUUCGAGGCCUUCAAAAAGACCACCCUGGACAGCGUGAAGAAGUGCGCCCUGCGUGGCCAGUUGGAGUUCGUCACUGACCGCCAAAAGAUUGAUAUUUCCGAGGUGGAGCCGGCCAGCGAGAUUGUCAAGCGAUUCGCCACUGGAGCCAUGAGCUUUGGCAGCAUCUCUCUGGAGGCCCAUCAGACUCUUUCCAUUACCAUGAACCGUAUUGGCGGCAAGAGCAACACCGGAGAAGGUGGCGAGGAUUCCGAUCGUUAUUUGAAUCAGGAUCCCAACAACAGCCGUCGCUCGGCCAUCAAGCAGGUGGCUUCCGGUCGCUUUGGUGUCACGGCCUCCUACCUGGCCAACGCCGAUGAUCUGCAGAUCAAGAUGGCCCAGGGAGCCAAGCCCGGAGAGGGCGGCGAGCUGCCCGGCUACAAGGUCACCAAGGACAUUGCCAAGACCCGUAAAUCGGUGCCGGGAGUGGGCCUGAUUUCGCCACCACCUCAUCACGAUAUCUACUCGAUCGAGGACUUGGCUGAGCUGAUCUACGAUCUGAAGUGCUCGAAUCCCAAUGCCCGGAUCAGUGUGAAGCUGGUGUCCGAAGUGGGUGUGGGUGUUGUGGCUUCCGGAGUGGCCAAAGGCAAAGCCGAACACAUUGUCAUUUCGGGACAUGAUGGCGGCACUGGAGCCAGCUCAUGGACUGGCAUCAAGAACGCCGGAUUACCCUGGGAACUGGGUGUGGCCGAAACCCAUCAGGUGCUGGUCCUGAACAAUCUCCGAUCACGAUGACAGCGUUGGAAAACCUGUUCAGAACAUGUAUUCCCCAAAUAAGCAGAUAUCGAUCCUAGAGAUUGAUCAUCGGAAAGUUGGGCUGAUCCCCCAAAACACAACCCCAUUGAAACUCCUCGAUACAUGUGGCCAGUGGGCAGUGGGCAGGAGGACAUUGACAAGGCGGACGAGGAGGGCGAGCAAGGAAUCGCAAUAGAUCCUCCAUAGAGCACUCAGAACUCAAAACUGAUCCUUGAAAGUGGAGGAAACUGAUCCGUUUGACAGAAAACCACCAAGAUGGAGACCAAUUGUGGACUGAAUCCAAUGAGUAUUGCCCACAAAAGUGGACAGAAACUGCUCAUCCUGAAAGUGAUCUAGAGAUCCCGAUCUGAUGCACUGAUUUCCACUGCCAGUCGCUCCGGUCCACUCGCUCUACUCCACUCCACUCAACUCCACUCCACUCACUCGCUCACUCGAUCACGAUCCACGUCGCGCUGUGCUCCAUUCAGUGAUUGUCCAAGCCGAUGGCCAGCUGCGUACAGGAUUCGAUGUGGUGGUCGCUGCUCUUCUGGGUGCCGAUGAGUUUGGCUUCAGUACAG